UUCCGGUUGAUCCCGCCGGACCUGACUGCUAUCGGAUUGAUACUAAGCCAUGCGAGUCUUUGUAGUAAUACAAGGCAGACGGCUCAGUAACACGUAGUCAACCUACCCUAUGGACGAGAAUAAUCUCGGGAAACUGAGCAUAAUUCUUGAUAGAUCAUAAUGCCUGGAAUGGUUUAUGGUUAAAAUGAUUCGUCGCCAUAGGAUGGGACUGCGGCCUAUCAGCUUGUUGGUGAGGUAAUGGCCCACCAAGGCGAUUACAGGUACGGGCUCUGAGAGGAGAAGCCCGGAGAUGGGUACUGAGACAAGGACCCAGGCCCUAUGGGGCGCAGCAGGCGAGAAAACUUUGCAAUGUGCGAAAGCACGACAAGGUUAAUCCGAGUGAUUUCUGCUAAAGAAAUCUUUUGCAAGUCAUAAAACCACUAGUGAAUAAGGGGUGGGCAAGUUCUGGUGUCAGCCGCCGCGGUAAAACCAGCACCUCAAGUGGUCAGGAGGAUUAUUGGGCCUAAAGCAUCCGUAGCCGGCUCUGUAAGUUUUCGGUUAAAUCCAUGUGCUCAACGCAUGGGCUGCCGAAAAUACUGCAUAGCUAGGGAGUGGGAGAGGUAGACGGUACUCGGUAGGAAGGGGUAAAAUCCUUUGAUCUAUCGAUGACCACCUGUGGCGAAGGCGGUCUACCAGAACACGUUCGACGGUGAGGGAUGAAGCUGGGGGAGCAAACCGGAUUAGAUACCCGGGUAGUCCCAGCUGUAAACGAUGCAGACUCGAUGAUGCAUUGGCAUAAUAGCCAGUGCAGUGUCGCAGGGAAGCCGUUAAGUCUGCCGCCUGGGAAGUACGUACGCAAGUAUGAAACUUAAAGGAAUUGGCGGGGGAGCACCACAAGGGGUGAAGCCUGCGGUUCAAUUGGAUUCAACGCCGGG
Molecule: ribosomal RNA, 914 nt
Filed under: uncultured marine archaeon
Lineage: Archaea
Description: bacterial SSU rRNA
Rfam family: Archaeal small subunit ribosomal RNA
Source: RNAcentral